This 1256-nucleotide long non-coding RNA is filed under the name Gossypium barbadense (sea-island cotton). RNAcentral's name for it is "long non-coding RNA (GBAR_LNC020240)". The record is from RNAcentral. Lineage: Eukaryota; Viridiplantae; Streptophyta; Magnoliopsida; Malvales; Malvaceae.
CUUUGUCCAUCUUUUAGCUUUUAAAAGAACAAAAGAAAAUUAAACAAGAACAUUUAUUUGUUCUUUUGGGUUUCCCUUUCCAGAGGAGAAACCAGACCCUUUUAGGGUUUCCUCGACCCUCAAACGCCGCCGCUCAGCCUCGCGCCAAGGCUCCGACUGCGACGGAGAUAGCGCCGACUCGACGAAUCCGGCGAGAGAGGUAAGUCCUUCCUCCCUUCUUUAUAUUUUAAAUUAAAAAUAAAUAAAAAAAUAAAAUAAAAAAGAAUGGAAAAAAUGAAAAAAAAUACGAUUCACCUUCGAAAAUCUCUUUCUAAUCUCAGUAUUUUCUCCCUAUUUUUGUAUUUCAGUAUUCUCUCAAUACAAUAUUGGUCCCCCUUUUACAUGAUCUAAAUCGGCCUUUAAAUAGCCGAAAAAAGACAAUAAAAUAAGCAAAAAAAUCUUCUCUUCAAUAUUCGUUGCGUUUUUUACUGUUACUCUGUUAUUGCUGCGUUGUACGUCCCCUUUUUUCGCAGGUUCGGUGGCCGUGGAGUGCGCCCGUACGUGGAGGCGCAACUCGCGCGAAUGGCGGCUACUGUUGCGGAGGGGGUAGUGCGCAGGCUCGCGGCGGCUGGAGAGGGUUUCAGCAAAUUGAUUUCGCUGGGCUAGGGUUUGAGAAUUGGCUGUUGGGCCUGUUAUUAGGCCUGCUAGUGUUGGACUGUUUAUUUUUUGUUUGGGUUUAUUAUGUGGGCCUGGGCAUUAUUGGGCUUGUACAAUAUAUAUAUGAAAUUAGUGUAAAGAGAGGCAAUUUCAUUUUCUCCAACUGGCCAAAACAAAGAAAUAAAAGGGAAGACAUUUGUAACAGUCCAAUUUUUAGUGGCAUCGAAAAAGGCGAUUUUGGAGCCUCAUUUUUGUAAAUCGGGUCCAUAAAUAUUUACGAAAUUAGUAUAAAAGUAUAUUGAUGUUUGACCCACCAAUCUUUUAUAUUAAUAGUUAAUUUAGGUGUAGGGAUUAGAUUGUAAAAGUCCAAUUACUAUAGGUUUUUAAUUGGCCAAAGACUUAGGGACUUAAAUUUUAAAUAACUAAAGGUUCAAAAUGGUAAUUAAAUAAUUUUGUAACAUGAAUUAGUGUUUGAUGAUGGAAGAUUCCACUAAUUUCUAAUUAAUGAUUAGUUAAGCUAGUUAAAACAUGAUUAGUUUAAUUAAACAAAGUUAAUUAAGUAUUAAACAUGGUAUAAAAGAGAAAAUUAGUGGAGUUGUCAUCACUUUAAUCUUUUUUAC